AUGAGUUAUCCAAUGCAGGGAUUUAGGUAUGAAGAGGAGAGCCACAAUUAUGCUCCACAACAGAUUUAUUCAGCUCCUACUCAUAUACCUCAACACCAGGACAUGUUGCCAAUGGAGUUAAAUGGUCCUUCAUUUGGUCAACCAACAUCUUCAACACAAGUGCCCACACAAGAUGACUUUGAGGAUAUAGACAAGCUCACAUUGCUUGGUCUCGAGUUCACUUGGAGUGCUGAAGAUGAUCCAAUUAGGCCGGUGAUACUAGAUGAAAUGAAGAAGAUCAAGAGUGGAAAAGAGCUAGUGGAAGAAGUAAGGAAGAUUGAGAAGAACAUCAACGCGAGCAACACUAUUUCUUCACAGCUAGAGCUGAGUGUUGCCGAGAUUCCCCUUGAUACAUGUGAGGUUCCAACACCGUCACAUCCAGUUGAGCAAGAUAGCAAGAGUCCAGAGGAAGAAAGACCCCAGAUUGAAGAAGAUGAACUAGAAGACAAGGAACAGGAUGAUCAAGAGCUGCAAUUCCCAAGUGAUCAAGUUGAAGACUCAUCAUCUACUACUGAAGAAGUACAAGAAGCUGUUGUAGAUGAAGAUGAAGAACAUGAGAUUCAUUUGCCUAUUGUCAUACCAGAGCGUGACGUGUCAGGUUUACUCAAUCCUCUUGAUGACAUGAUGCCUUGUGAUUUCUUUGCUACUACCUUGCAUUACAUGAUACCAUCACUUAAGAUUGAUUUAAAAACUCAUUUGCUUGGAUAUGAUGAUAUAUACCCUUUUAGUGGCAUUACUCUCAUUUGUGAUGAUCAUAGUUACUUUCCUCGUGCUAGUCCUAUGCUUAAUGAAACAUAUCACUCCCAUGCUAGUCUUGAGCUUAAUGAUAAAUAUCAUCCUCAUGUUAGUGUUGACCUUGUUGAUUUCUACCAUCCUAAACAUGUGCUUUAUAGCUAUGCUUAUGUAAUUGGAUAUUCGAUUGAUGACUUGGAGGGUAUUAUCCCUACCACUUGCAUUGUCUCUUUCGUUGAGUGCUCUUUCAGGUUCUUGCUUGUGCACGAUCCACUACAUGCUGACCAAGUUCGAGAUGACAUUCCCUGGGACCCCGGUGGACCUAUGGCAUGGGGAUGA
RNAcentral lists this ribosomal RNA (1110 nucleotides) under Triticum aestivum (bread wheat). Its description in RNAcentral is "partial small subunit ribosomal RNA". Lineage: Eukaryota; Viridiplantae; Streptophyta; Magnoliopsida; Poales; Poaceae. The record is from RNAcentral.